GUUUGUUUGGUUGCGCAAAUUACAAGAUUGGAGGAAAUUAAAGCAAAAAGCCAAAGUGCAGGUCCUCCCAACCCCAAUUUCUCAGUUACAAAUGUAACUAAAAUUGCGUUCUAAAAGCGGGCUUUCGAGCGAAACGUUCACCUGAAAAUUAUUGAAGGGACUACUAAAACCGAAACGUUGUGAUAAAGACAUCUUUGUAAGACAAUUGAAAUGGGAAGAAGAAUUCCAAAUUUCAAUUGCGUAAUGUUAAUGAGGCAGAUUACCUUGAAAAACAUUGUUGCCGACCUCAUUAUCCAGUAUAAGUGUAUGUAAACUAUCUUAAACGUUUCAAAACUGGCAAAUAUAAAGCGCUAACGUGUAAAAGUCACCUUGCUGAUUCGUUGUCGGGGAAAAGCACUAGUAAAAAUACGAAUUUCGAUUCGGAAAAACUCCAGGCCCCGACUCCUGCUUCAAAAGCGCCAGUCGACAGAAACGGGAAGAACUAAUCUAGAUUCAAUGUGGGUCGUUUACUUAUGAGAAUUUUGUGAAGAUUAACAGUGUGUAGAAAAUUGCCAGAAAAACGCCCCCAAGAAAAAUAAUUUGUGGACCUGAAUCUACGUGAGCAAUUUGACUUUUGCGAUGAUUAACGUGGUUUGUUAGAAACUCCCAAAUCUACAGGGACCUGGAGUGGGAGCCACUAAGAGAGUUUCUCACCAGGAAAGCGGCUGAAGACUUCGUUAAAGCUGGAAGGCACUCCAACGAAGAGCUACGAAAUCUUGUAAAUUACACACCUGAAGAUCUGGGA
Dendroctonus ponderosae (mountain pine beetle) is the source of this 784-nucleotide long non-coding RNA. RefSeq lists it as uncharacterized. The record is from RefSeq and is a predicted model, not a curated record. The transcript has 2 exons. NCBI's taxonomy places the organism in Eukaryota, Metazoa, Arthropoda, Insecta, Coleoptera, Curculionidae.